RNAcentral lists this ribosomal RNA (153 nucleotides) under uncultured Campylobacterota bacterium. RNAcentral's name for it is "uncultured Epsilonproteobacteria bacterium partial 16S ribosomal RNA". It matches the Rfam family "Bacterial small subunit ribosomal RNA", at positions 355 to 525 of the family's 1533-position model. Lineage: Bacteria; Pseudomonadati; Campylobacterota. The record is from RNAcentral.
UGGGGAUUAUUGCACAAUGGGGGAAACCCUGAUGCAGCAACGCCGCGUGGAGGAAGACACCCUUAGGGGCGUAAACUCCUUUUAUCAAGGAAGAAGAUGACGGUACUUGAUGAAUAAGCACCGGCUAACUCCGUGCCAGCAGCCGCGGUAAUA